This is a non-coding RNA of Macrolepiota fuliginosa MF-IS2, 97 nucleotides long. NCBI's taxonomy places the organism in Eukaryota, Fungi, Basidiomycota, Agaricomycetes, Agaricales, Agaricaceae. The record is from the annotation of a GenBank genome assembly.
GCAUUAAUGGGGUAGUGGUAACCUGGGUCGUUGCCAAUCUCGAAUCUCGUCGAGUGAUGAGUUCGACCCGCCGGGGGUUCGAUUCCCUCUUAAUGCA